UCUUGUUUCUUCUUUUGAU
Molecule: small RNA, 19 nt
Filed under: Arabidopsis thaliana (thale cress)
Lineage: Eukaryota; Viridiplantae; Streptophyta; Magnoliopsida; Brassicales; Brassicaceae
Description: ATSL142980
Source: RNAcentral